AUUGAACGCUGGCGGAAUGCUUUACACAUGCGAGUCGAACGGCAGCACGGACUUCGGUCUGGUGGCGAGUGGCGAACGGGUGAGUAACAUAUCGGAACGUAUCCAAUAAUGGGGGAUAACGAGUCGAAAGAUUCGCUAAUACCGCAUACGCCCUACGGGGGAAAGCUGGGGACCUUCGGGCCUGGCGUUAAUGGAGCGGCCGAUAUCUGAUUAGCUAGUUGGUGAGGUAAAGGCUCACCAAGGCGACGAACAGUAGCUGGUCUGAGAGGACGACCAGCCACACUGGAACUGAGACACGGUCCAGACUCCUACGGUAGGCGGCAGUGGGGAAUUUUGGACAAUGGGCGCAAGCCUGAUCCAGCCAUUCCGCGUGAGUGAAGAAGGCCUUCGGGUUGUAAAGCUCUUUCGCAAGGGAAGAAAACUUAGCCACUAACAUUGGUUGAGGUUGACGGUACCUUGAUAAGAAGCACCGGCUAACUACGUGCCAGCCGCCGCGGUAA
Molecule: ribosomal RNA, 500 nt
Filed under: uncultured bacterium
Lineage: Bacteria
Description: partial 16S ribosomal RNA
Rfam family: Bacterial small subunit ribosomal RNA
Source: RNAcentral